UUUUCCGCAAUGGGCGCAAGCCUGACGGAGCAACGCCGCGUGCGGGAUGACGCGCUUCGGCGUGUAAACCGCUGUUCGGGGGGACGAAGCACUAACGGUACCCCCGGAGGAAGGCCCGGCUAACUACGUGCCAGCAGCCGCGGUAAUACGUAGGGGUCGGGCGUUGUCCGGAGUUACUGGGCGUAAAGCGUGCGCAGGCGGCGGCCUGCGCCCGGCGUGAAAGCCCCCGGCUCAACCGGGGAGGGUCGUCGGGGACGGGGCCGCUUGAGGAUCGCAGGGGCUGGUGGAAUUCCCGGUGUAGUGGUGAAAUGCGUAGAGAUCGGGAGGAACACCCGUGGCGAAGGCGGCCAGCUGGGCGAUACCUGACGCUGAGGCACGAAGGCGUGGGGAGCGAAC
This 396-nucleotide ribosomal RNA is filed under the name uncultured bacterium. RNAcentral's name for it is "bacterial SSU rRNA". It matches the Rfam family "Bacterial small subunit ribosomal RNA", at positions 362 to 773 of the family's 1533-position model. The record is from RNAcentral.